Molecule: ribosomal RNA, 972 nt
Filed under: Cochliomyia hominivorax (primary screw-worm)
Lineage: Eukaryota; Metazoa; Arthropoda; Insecta; Diptera; Calliphoridae
Description: eukaryotic LSU rRNA
Rfam family: Eukaryotic large subunit ribosomal RNA
Source: RNAcentral
UAGUUCAGCACUAAGUCACUUUGUCUUAAUGGCAAAUGUCAGAUGCAGUGUAUGGAAUGUCAAAUUUCUAGUAUGAGAAAUUAACGAUUUAAGUCCUUCUUAAAUGAGGCCAUUUACCCAAAGAGGGUGCCAGGCCCGUAUAACGUUAAUGAUUACUAGAUGGCAUUUCCAAAGAGUCGUGUUGCUUGAUAGUGCAGCACUAAGUGGGUGGUAAACUCCAUCUAAAACUAAAUAUAACCAUGAGACCGAUAGUAAACAAGUACCGUGAGGGAAAGUUGAAAAGAACUCUGAAUAGAGAGUUAAAUAGUACGUGAAACUGCUUAGAGGUUAAGCCCGAUGAACCUGAAUAUCCAUUAUAGAAAAUUCAUCAUUAUGAUUUUAAUAUUUAUAAUAUUAUAAUAAUGGUGUGCAUUUUUUCUAUAAAAGGACAUUGUAAUCUAUUAACAUCAAAUAUUUAUCAAAAGAUCAAUUGCAAAUGUUUAUUCAAAUUAUUUUGCUUGCAAUUUAACAUAGAAUAAAUGCUUUUGAUUUGAUAAAGUGUUGAUAGAUUUAUUAUAUAUAGUGCUUAAAUAUUUAUAUUUUAUAAUAGCAUAUUAAUCAUUGAUUUUUAUGUUUAUUAUAUGCACUUAUAUGAUUAACAAUGCGAAAGAUUCAGGAUACCUUCGGGACCCGUCUUGAAACACGGACCAAGGAGUCUAACAUAUUUGCAAGUUAUUGGGAAUAAAAACCUAAUAGCGAAAUUAACAUAACUUAUAUAAUGGGAUUAAUUUUUAGCCUAUUUAUAGUCUAUUAAUUCAAUCCCGGGGCGUUCUAUAUAGUUAUGUAUAAUAAUAUUUAUAUUAUUUAUACCUCUAACUAGAGCGUACCUUGAGCAUAUAUGCUGUGACCCGAAAGAUGGUGAACUAUACUUGAUCAGGUUGAAGUCAGGGGAAACCCUGAUGGAAGACCGAAACAGUUCUGACGUGCAAUCGA